This 326-nucleotide ribosomal RNA is filed under the name uncultured eukaryote. Its description in RNAcentral is "partial 18S ribosomal RNA". It matches the Rfam family "Eukaryotic small subunit ribosomal RNA", at positions 1470 to 1796 of the family's 1831-position model. The record is from RNAcentral.
CCCUUAGAUGUUCUGGGCUGCACGCGCGCUACACUGAUGCACUCAACGAGUUUACGACCUUGCCCGAUAGGGCUGGGUAAUCUUUUUAAAAUGCAUCGUGAUGGGGAUAGAUUAUUGCAAUUAUUAAUCUUCAACGAGGAAUUCCUAGUAAGCGCGAGUCAUCAGCUCGUGCUGAUUACGUCCCUGCCCUUUGUACACACCGCCCGUCGCUCCUACCGAUUGAGUGCUCAGGUGAAUAAUUCGGACUGCAGCAAUGUUUGGAUCCCGAACGUUGCAGCGGAAAGUUUAGUGAACCUUAUCACUUAGAGGAAGGAGAAGUCGUAACA